GCAUCCCUAUUCCUCUUGGUCACUUCCCCUUCCCUCCCCUCUCCCCUUCCUUUCCCUUCCUCUCCCAGAUCACAGUGAGCAGGAGGAGCUCUGGGACACAGCAGGGAGAUUCCUUCCUUCCCAGGCAGCCUCUGGCAGGCAGGAAAGCAGGAACUGCCUGAAACAGAGAGAUCUGUCUGGUUUUGGCGGAGGGUGAUACGGGGAAAGGGUAGAACUGUCUUCUCCCAAUUACUCUGGAAAAAGCCACUUCUGAAGGACCUGGAACAAGAAGAGUUUCCACUGAUGUAAAGUAAUGUCAGA
Molecule: long non-coding RNA, 300 nt
Filed under: Parus major (Great Tit)
Lineage: Eukaryota; Metazoa; Chordata; Aves; Passeriformes; Paridae
Description: lncRNA (ENSPMJG00000007073.1)
Source: RNAcentral